RNAcentral lists this ribosomal RNA (520 nucleotides) under Caldisericota bacterium. RNAcentral describes it as "partial 23S ribosomal RNA". It matches the Rfam family "Bacterial large subunit ribosomal RNA", at positions 1361 to 1856 of the family's 2925-position model. The record is from RNAcentral. Lineage: Bacteria; Pseudomonadati; Caldisericota.
AAGGCUCGUCCGCCCAGGGUAAGUCGGGACCUAAGCCGAGGCCGUAAAGGCGUAGGCGAUGGACAAUCGGUGGAAAUUCCGAUACCACCCGGAAGCCGCUUGCAGCGAUGGGGAACACAGGAGGGUAGGCCGAGCGGGCCGUUGGUCGUGCCCGUCCAAGCCGGUAGGGCGGUAGAGAGGCAAAUCCCUCUACCAGAAAGCCCGAGAAGCGAGUGCGAGGGAAAUCAAGUACCGAAGCGGUCGAUCCCAUACUGGCGAGAAAAACCCCUAGUGAGGCUUUCAGGUGCCCGUACCGCAAACCGACACAGGUAGGCAAGGAGAGAAUCCUGAGGCGCGCGAGAGAACCCUCGUUAAGGAACUCGGCAAAGUGACCCCGUAACUUCGGGAGAAGGGGUGCCCUGAUAGGGUGAGGAAGACCUGCUCUUCCGAGCCCGAGAGGGUUGCAGAGAAGAGGCCCAAGCGACUGUUUACCAAAAACACAGGUCCCUGCCAAAGCGAAAGCUGACGUAUAGGGGCUGAC